CUGAAUUUUUGUCAUCUUCUCCCAUGUCUUCAGUUUUAUAAUCGCCCUGUUCAUUUAAUGGGUUUUCUUCCUUAGGAGAGUCAACUUUUGGUUUUGGUUGUGUCACAAUGGGCUCACAGACAUUGUUCAACUCUUGAAGCUUUGCCUUAAUUUCAAAGGAACGCACAGCUGGAUCCUGAUCUAAGCUCUUCUUAGCCUGGGCACUCACAGCAUUGUUCAUCCACUCUAUCACUUCACUCACACACUUCUCUACUUUCAUCAUUUCCAUUUCAUCAAUAUGGAUGUAUUUUUCAUCUUUAUUCCUGAAUUCCCCAGCUAUCGCAGCGUAAUACUGGAGCCUGUGUCCCAGUUCUUCUAAUAGCUUUGGUCGCUCCUCUGCUUCUUGAUAGCGCAUUUCAAUUGGAGUACCUAAUUUCUUUAAAUCCUCUAGUUUGUCUACAUACACCUGCUUAGCUUCAUC
Molecule: long non-coding RNA, 460 nt
Filed under: Gallus gallus (chicken)
Lineage: Eukaryota; Metazoa; Chordata; Aves; Galliformes; Phasianidae
Source: RNAcentral